CCGAAGUGGAACGUGCAAACUUAACCACUCGGCCACGGGGCCAGCCCCCCAAACCUCCUUUCCUUCCUUUCUCUCAAUUCCAAAAACACUUGCCGAUCCAACCAACUGCUCCUUUACUUUUCAUUUAAUAAACCAGGAAACAGGUAGCUAGUCUCUCAUGUGCCACGAAUAGUUGGUUGUCUUGUCAGCAUCUGUGUCCCAUUUUCCCAAUUAGGUCUUAAGCCUCUAGAGGUUAGAAUAGCUACUUGUGUCCCCCGCAACGCUCCGCGUGAAUGACAGUUUGUUCACUGAGGGUUACUAAAUGCUUGCCUGAUUACCUAAAAUACUUUACACGAGGAGGCAUUAGGGAUUCAUUCAUCCAACCAGUAGUUAUUGAGGCCCAGCCUGCACCGGGCACCGUGUAAAACCAGAUCUGCAAGGUUUCUUUCUCCAAGGAGUCUGUGGUUAGUACAAGAGACAGUUACUGUGCGCUUACAUCUUUGCCUUGGUGAGAAGCACGGAAUGGAGGGAAGCUUUGCUUCGGGGAGAGGCAUCAGGGAGGGCCUGCGGAGGGACAUCAGGCUGCAAGGGGGGCCGUGGGAACGGGGGGAGGCAGGCAGGGAGGGUAAGCGGCAGGUGGAGAAGAGGCCCUGCUGACGGCUGUGGCCGCGUGGGGGAGACGCGCCUGGGGCAGUGGUGAAGGGGCACAGUCUGUUCACCCUCUUGCUCUGCCCUUUAAAAGAGGGCCAUCAGCGCAGACGAGGGCACACGAUUCCACCUACGGCAGCCCGGACGCUGCCAACAAACAGCAGGAAUCCUGGUGUUCCAAAAUAUUCAUAGGCAUAGACCCUUCGGCGUCAACAGAGAAUACGAACAUCGAACACAGAAGAACAAGUCCAGGGUGCCAACACCAGAUUACAGUGUUAGAGUUGGAAGAUAGAGGACUUCAGUUUAGGAAACCAAAUACAUUUACUGCUGGGAAACUGAAACCUGACCUUGAACGGCCUUAGAGGAGUGUGUCACAAACUUGUUUGGCUGGGCAGCUUUGUUUGUGUGAAAUCGUGUGAAGUGUAAACACGGGGAACAAAAAGCUUCCUGCCUGGCCCCGAGGAGGGCUGAGGGUGAGGCCUGAGCUUGGUUUUCUCUUCUUCACAAACCGCCAGGGCUCUGGGACUUCAGCGAAACAUCGCCAGCUCGGGCUGAACAGAGGUGGCCCAGUGCGAGGGUAGGACGCUUCCCGCCGAGCUUUCCCGACUCUCGGGUCUUAUUCCAGAAAAUGAGAAAAGCAACCACUUCUUUUUCCUGCCCUCUUUUUUCUUUACUUGAAAGGGAAGACUAACUUUCUUCACAUUUAAAUGGAUUGUCCUUGUGGGUGAAAGAAACUCUACAUGCAUUGACCCAGGCGCUUGUGUGUUUGUUAUAAAAAAGGUCUUAUAAGUCACGUCGAAGAAUCCUUGUUACCAAAGAAAAACUCACAUUGGAAAUGACACUGGCCUCCCCCACAAUGCAAACACCCUUGUUUCUGGAAAAAGUCGUACUGAGCCCUGCUCACGGCUGUCAGUGGAAAAGUCCUGGACUCUGCUUCUGCGGCCCUGGGUGCUGCCGUCCAUUUUGAGCUCUUCGCAGCCCAAAGGUGGGACACAGGCAAGCAGAUGGUGAGCCCUUUUUAGGCCCCUUGCGCUGGUCAUUCAAUGCCCAGGUUCCAGCCUCCAUUCUCUCCCUUUCUGACUAGGAGGUCCCUUCCCUUCCCCUCCCAGUUCUGCUCUUUGCUGAGCCAGGCAUCUGCUGGGCUUAAGGGAAGCCAGGAGCCAGUGAGGCCUCGGACUAUGUGGGAGAAAGUCUCUCCCGCCACAGACUGGCGGAGUGCCUAGAAAUCCGCACCCUGAAAAAUGUGACUCUGGAGGACAGGUUGGUCCUUUGGGGUGGGGGGGCGUGGAGCGUGGAGAGAAAGUUUGACAUCCGUGUGAACAGGAGGUCAGGAGUGCCAAGCGGGUGGGCUGAGUCCUUCCUGCUCUGGGUCUGGGAGGGUCUGAGCAGUCAGGAGCCCCACGGCUGCCAGGCUCCCUCCAGGUUCUUCACCAAGCACUGUCAGCCUUCCUUCCGCUACCUGCCGGCCCGUGGGGGUGGGGCAGCGUCGCUGUGCCUUCGGGAGCCUGUGGCUGCCUCCUUGAGCUGCUGUGGCUUGCACUGUGUUCCCUGAUGUGACCUUAUCUGGAAAUCAGAUCUUUGCAGAUGUAAUCAAAUUAAGACAGGUCACACUGGAUUAGGGUGGGCCCUACAGCCAGUGACGGGUGUCCUUUUAAGGACAGGGAGAUUUGGGGACUGAAAGGAACACAUGGAGGGAAGACAGCCGUGUGAAGACGGAGGCCGAGAUUGGAGUGAUCUGUCUACACUGAGGAAUGCCCAGGAUUGCUGGCCACUACCACAAGCUAGAGAGAGGCAAGGGAGACUUCUUGCCUAGAGCCGUCAGAGGAAGCAUGGCCCGUCCACACUUCGAUGCCAGCCCCCUAGCCUUCAGAACCGUGAGGGAAUAAGAGUCUGUUGUUUUAGGGCAGCAGGGCCCGGUACUCGGUGAGGGCAGCCCGGUGAACGCUCGAACAACCCAAGCGUUAGAGAGACGGCCAUUCCAAAUAGACAGAGCACACACUCAGCGAGAGAGAGCUGUUGGAGGGGACGACCGUCAAUUCGAACUGAAAGAGGACAGUAAAGGGCAGCCCUCAGCGAGGCUGCGCCUUCCAUCACAGGCCCAGAGCGCAGGGACCUGGGGGCAGAGCAAUUCCAACGCAGGCGCCACUGCCACCCUGCCCCGCCGCCCACCGCGGCUCAGCCCCACGGACAGAACAGCUGGACAGAAUAUCUCAUAGGUACAAGGCUGAAAGAUCAAGUUUUCUAUGAAGGAAACAGAACCAGCCUGGCGUCUGAGCGCCUGGCUGCCGCAGCGGACGCUAGAGGGCAGGAGACCAGCAGCUGCAGGCACUGAGCUACCAUGACAGUCGAUCUGAUAACCAAGAUGGCUGCUAAGUGACUAACGGGCAGGUGGUGUACACAGUGGAUCCGUUGAACAAAGGGAUGAUUCACGUCCCAGGAGGGACAGAGCAGGAUGGUGGGAGAUUUCAUCAUGCUACUCAGAGCAGCGUGCAAUUUAAAACUUAUGAAUUGUUUAUUUCUGGAAUUUUCCAUUUAAUAUUUUCAGAUCAUGAUUGACAGCAGGUAAUUGAAACCGUGCACAAAGGGGAGAUUACUGUACAAAAAUUCUAAAUAAAAUACCAGUGAAUAGAA
This is a non-coding RNA of Equus caballus (horse), 3258 nucleotides long. The record is from RefSeq and is a predicted model, not a curated record. NCBI's taxonomy places the organism in Eukaryota, Metazoa, Chordata, Mammalia, Perissodactyla, Equidae.